RNAcentral lists this ribosomal RNA (112 nucleotides) under Caerostris darwini. Lineage: Eukaryota; Metazoa; Arthropoda; Arachnida; Araneae; Araneidae. The record is from RNAcentral.
AACGGCCGUACCAUGCUGAAUAUACCGGUUCUCGUUAGAUCACCGAAGUUAAGAAUCAUUGGGCGCGGUCAGUACUUGGGUGGGUGACCACCUGGGAACACUGCGUGCCGUU